CAAGUGGUGGUCAAGGUAUUCCUGGGGACGUAGGCGAGGCGGGACCUAUGGGCUCCUUCGGUCCACGAGGCCCCGAUGGCCCACCAGGAAAACCUGGCCCAGAUGGAGAGCCUGGGUCAUCAGGAAACACAGGAG
Clupea harengus (Atlantic herring) is the source of this 135-nucleotide long non-coding RNA. RefSeq lists it as uncharacterized. NCBI's taxonomy places the organism in Eukaryota, Metazoa, Chordata, Actinopteri, Clupeiformes, Clupeidae. The transcript has 3 exons. The record is from RefSeq and is a predicted model, not a curated record.